Molecule: unclassified non-coding RNA, 335 nt
Filed under: soil metagenome
Description: partial contains 5.8S ribosomal RNA, internal transcribed spacer 2, and large subunit ribosomal RNA
Rfam family: 5.8S ribosomal RNA (bases 1-120)
Source: RNAcentral
GAUGAAGAACGCAGCGAAAUGCGAUAAGUAAUAUGAAUUGCAGAAUUCAGUGAAUCAUCGAAUCUUUGAACGCACAUUGCGCCCGCCAGUAUUCUGGCGGGCAUGCCUGUUCGAGCGUCAUUUCAACCAUCAAGCCCCCGGCUUGUGUUGGGGACCUGCGGCUGCCGCAGGCCCUGAAAACCAGUGGCGGGCUCGCUAGUCACUCCGAGCGUAGUAAUACAUCUCGCUCAGGGCGUGCUGCGGGUUCCGGCCGUUAAAAAGCCUUAUUUACCCAAGGUUGACCUCGGAUCAGGUAGGAAGACCCGCUGAACUUAAGCAUAUCAAUAAGCGGAGGA